GCUAGUAAUGGCAGGUCAGCAUACUGCCGUGAAUACGUUCCCGGGCCUUGUACACACCGCCCGUCACACCAUGAGAGUUGGGAAUACCCGAAGCCUGUGAGCUAACAUUUAUGAGGCAGCAGUCGAAGGUAGAAUCAAUGAUUGGGGUGAAGUCGUAACAAGGUAUC
This 167-nucleotide ribosomal RNA is filed under the name uncultured bacterium. RNAcentral's name for it is "partial 16S ribosomal RNA". It matches the Rfam family "Bacterial small subunit ribosomal RNA", at positions 1334 to 1500 of the family's 1533-position model. The record is from RNAcentral.